GACACUGAAAGAAAGGGACUCGACACUAAUCACCAGAACCCCCAGAAUAAGACCUCCCCAUUCUCUGUGUCCCCAACUGGCCCUGGCACCAAGAUCAAGGCUGAAGACCCUAGUGGUGACAUAGCCCCAGCAGCACCCCUCCAUCCCC
This is a long non-coding RNA of Myotis davidii, 148 nucleotides long. RefSeq lists it as uncharacterized. The transcript has 3 exons. NCBI's taxonomy places the organism in Eukaryota, Metazoa, Chordata, Mammalia, Chiroptera, Vespertilionidae. The record is from RefSeq and is a predicted model, not a curated record.